UGGGGAAUAUUGGACAAUGGGCGAAAGCCUGAUCCAGCCAUGCCGCGUGUGUGAAGAAGGUCUUCGGAUUGUAAAGCACUUUAAGUUGGGAGGAAGGGCAUUAACCUAAUACGUUAGUGUUUUGACGUUACCGACAGAAUAAGCACCGGCUAACUCUGUGCCAGCAGCCGCGGUAAUACAGAGGGUGCAAGCGUUAAUCGGAAUUACUGGGCGUAAAGCGCGCGUAGGUGGUUUGUUAAGUUGGAUGUGAAAUCCCCGGGCUCAACCUGGGAACUGCAUUCAAAACUGACUGACUAGAGUAUGGUAGAGGGUGGUGGAAUUUCCUGUGUAGCGGUGAAAUGCGUAGAUAUAGGAAGUAACACCAGUGGCGACGGCGACCACCUGGACUAAUACUGACACUGAGGUGCGAAAGCGUGGGGAGCAAACA
Molecule: ribosomal RNA, 427 nt
Filed under: uncultured bacterium
Lineage: Bacteria
Description: partial 16S ribosomal RNA
Rfam family: Bacterial small subunit ribosomal RNA
Source: RNAcentral